Molecule: non-coding RNA, 45 nt
Filed under: Echinostoma caproni
Lineage: Eukaryota; Metazoa; Platyhelminthes; Trematoda; Plagiorchiida; Echinostomatidae
Source: RNAcentral
GUACUGCUGAUGAGUCCCAAAUAAGACUAAACGGCUGUUCAGUGC